GUAUCUGCGGGCGGUGCCCGCCCGUGGCACGCGGCAGUUCCUGAAUUUCGCGCCCCGAUGCUGGUGACGGGUGUGUCCAGUUGACGCGCCCGGGAUUAAGCUCACUAGGAUCGGGCCUGCUUAGACCCCUCCCCCGUCCAGCUGAGUGGGGCGAAUCGCCGCCGGAGUGGUUGCGCCCUGGGGGUGUCUCUAGCUCCAGUGUGCUUAAAUGACAUCAAAGUUGGUAUCUUCUGUGCUAAAACUACAUACUACUGCCACUUGAUCUACAGGAAACUGCUACUGCCUCUUUUAUCUAAUAUACCCUGGUGAUAUGCCUUGGAUUUAGCUCACUGGGCUUGGGCCCUCUUUGUAAACUGAUGACUAGAAGCUUUCUUGGGUCAGCAGAGCAAGGAAGAACCAGGCCUGCAAUGAGUCAGAGAAGUAAAGAAGACAAACUAUAAGAAGAGAGCUGCCACUCCUGUCCAGAAUUUGCCAAGAGAUCAUUUGGUGUCAUUCUUUCAGCAUGGAUUACAGUGUUGUGAUGCACUUCAGAAAAUCUUCUGACAUUGCUGCAUUGUGUGGAACAUCUGCCCUUUUCUUUCAAAUAUAGAUCUCACUGACAAAGGCACAAUUAAUGUAAACUUCUUCCUGUAAUGACUGGGAUCCCUUUGGAAUUGAUCCAGGGACUGUUGUAUGUAGAAUAUUGCUGUCUAGGUAUUCUUUUGUGUGUAAGGUAAAGGGAAACAGUAACACCCAUUCUCCAUGGGCUGUCCUGGUUGCAGAAAAAAUUGUGGAUUCAAUUCAACAUCUCAUUGAAGUAAUCCUUUUUCUGGGCCCAAGGUAUAUGGCUGUGCCUAUUCCUAUUGCCCUCCAAGCCUGCUGUUCUUAACUUCAAGGGCUUUCACAACUGUGCCCCUCCUUACUUGUCUGCUCUUAUAUCUUGUGUCCUUUCCCUGCUUCACCAGUGAUGACAGAUUUGACCCCUUGUUUGUCUCCAUCUCAAACAAAUAAUUUUAUACUUUAACCUCUAUCCCUUAUGCAUGCAACAGUCUCACAGAACUAGUCUGUAAAGCCCCAGCCCUCUCCCCAUUUAAAUCCUUCCCCAAGACUUACUUCUACCAUGAUGGCUACUGGAAAUUGCCAGAUGAUAAUGACUAGGUAGAUGCCAGUGGGGAUUGCUGAUAUUUAUUUAUAAAACAUUUUAAAACACAUGUAUAUGAUUUGGAACAUCAAGUUAAGCACAUAAUUAAGAACCUGUGUUGUCCACAAGCUAGCUAAUAUGCUCAUCCUCCCUCCGCCUCUGUUUCUUACAUGUGUGUCUUGUCAAAUUAAAUUGUAAGCUCUCCAGGGAAAGGGCUGUAC
This is a long non-coding RNA of Trachemys scripta elegans, 1341 nucleotides long. RefSeq lists it as uncharacterized. The record is from RefSeq and is a predicted model, not a curated record. The transcript has 4 exons. NCBI's taxonomy places the organism in Eukaryota, Metazoa, Chordata, Testudines, Emydidae.